UCCAGAACCUUGGCAUUCAAAGGAAAACAUAGGAACACUGGGCCCCUGGCACAUUCCAACUGAACCAAGCCACGGGGGGAGAGGAGGAAAGUCCAAGAGAAGGAGGGUCAUGGACUGAGGGGAAAGGAAAGAGCCUGGAAAACAGGGAUGAUUUUUCUCUUGACAGGAAAGAAAAGUAGCAGCUUUUACAUAAUUUAAUGCUCUAAGAGGUGGACAAGUGUUGGGAUGCAGACCUGGUGAAAUCACAUGCUUCCAAUGUAUUGGCAACACCAAGAUGCCAACUGUCACCUGAGAGCCAAAUGUGGUCUGAGGCAGCCGGAGAAGCUGGAUCGGCGAUGAUCAUUUAACAAUGGAAACAGCUUGGACCCAAGGAGCCGGAACUCUGCUCCCCUUCCCUCUUCUCUAAGGGGCCCACGCUCCUCUAAUCUACACUGACCCGGGCUCUGACAGAUUGGAUUCAGUGCUGGGGGAGCCUGAUCACCUCGAAGAAGAAGAGUCAGGCUUCUUUUCUUGCAUUCUUUAGUCCUUUCCACCCCACCCCCUGAGCCUGGGGGACAUGGAAGUUUAAACUUGGCCUCAUGGAUAGAAUCAGUCAACCAAUAAGUGUGUACUGACUAAGAACUUACUACAAGCCAGGUACUAUGCUAAUUGCUGAGGAUACAAAGAAUCGUGGCCCCUGGCCUCAGGCAGCUCCAAGUCUAAUGUAGGAGUCGGCAGAUCUAAAACAACUACAUAUGGACAAGCGUUAAUGGAUGGUCAUUUCAGAGGGAAAACACAAGUCACUUCUUGCAGAUGGUGAGAUUUGAACAGAGACUGGAGAAAAUCUGAGAAGCUGGGAGGCCAAGAUGAUGAGGAGGAACAUCCUGCGCCCGGAGGAUGACCAGUGAGAUAACACGGAAGUCUGGAGGUAGACUGCGAGGAAAACAAGAUGGCGGUUCUCUCCAAAAGGGAGACGAGCAAAGUAAAUUGGGUUUGGGGCAUUGGUUCAUGUCUUCCACCCAAAAUAAACAAUGAACUCAAAUAGGACUCACAGGUUCAGAACGAGAAAGCUUAAACAAUCAUCGAUAAUGUUUAGUUCCGGCUAGAGUCUCCAGGCUGAGAUUUCACCCACCGCUCUUUGCUGGAGGACUGAACAGAUGUUUGACAUUGUACCAUACUCUGGACUAUUCAAACAGUGCAGGGUCCAUUCAGGUCAAUGGUUUUUUCUGCUAACCAGCCCAUGGUUUCAGCUCUUCCUGACAUCAUUGGUCAGCUUCUUAAUGAGACAUUGCAAUGGGUGGAGAGAGAGACCACCCAGGGUUUUCUGUGUUGUCUCGUCCCAAGCACCAGUCUAUUUGGUGUCUCAUCUAUUGUCUAGCUAUUUACUUUUUAUUUAUUUUAGUUAAGACUUAUCUCCCCCUCCCGAUGUUCUCCCAACUGAACAAUAAAAAGAAAGAAAACCUUCAUCAAAAACAUCCAUUGUCCAGCCAAAUAAGUUCCUCCAUUGGUCAUGUCCAAAAUUGGCUUAUUUGGCUUAUUCUUGGUUCUAAGUCCAUCCCAUCUCUGGGCUAAGUUCUCACUAAAGGGUUAGAAGAAAACACUUCUUAAAGCCCAGUCCAAGGGUCAGUGAAAUCUCCAGGAUGGUUCUCCUCUUCAUGGGUGUUCUGGUAAAUGUUUAACAAUCAGCUCUCAAAAACAUUCAUGAAUGGCAUUAAGUUCAAUCUCUAUAAUGAACAUUUUCUCCACCGGUUCUCCACCCGGUCCAGGCAAUCAACAGAACAAUGAAUCAAGUCUUGAUGUCUAUAGCAUUUGCUUAUUUCAGCUUACACUGAAAAUGUCAGCUCCAGGACACCACUGCUCCAACCUCUUUAAAGAGAAAUAACAUAAAAUAAAUGUUGCUCAUUCCAUA
Molecule: long non-coding RNA, 1888 nt
Organism: Monodelphis domestica (gray short-tailed opossum)
Lineage: Eukaryota; Metazoa; Chordata; Mammalia; Didelphimorphia; Didelphidae
Source: RefSeq, a predicted model, not a curated record